This 253-nucleotide ribosomal RNA is filed under the name uncultured bacterium. RNAcentral's name for it is "partial 16S ribosomal RNA". It matches the Rfam family "Bacterial small subunit ribosomal RNA", at positions 524 to 776 of the family's 1533-position model. The record is from RNAcentral.
UACGAAGGGUGCUAGCGUUGUUCGGAAUCACUGGGCGUAAAGCGCGCGUAGGCGGCUUCUCAAGUCAGGGGUGAAAUCCUUGGGCUCAACCCAAGAAUUGCCUUUGAAACUGUGAAGCUGGAGUGUCGGAGGGGAUAGCGGAAUUGCUAAUGUAGAGGUGAAAUUCGUAGAUAUUAGCAGGAACACCGGUGGCGAAGGCGGCUAUCUGGACGACAACUGACGCUGAGGCGCGAAAGCGUGGGGAUCAAACAGG